This 721-nucleotide small RNA is filed under the name Pongo abelii (Sumatran orangutan). RNAcentral's name for it is "processed transcript". Lineage: Eukaryota; Metazoa; Chordata; Mammalia; Primates; Hominidae. The record is from RNAcentral.
AGACAUCUCACUAAGUGUCAAGAAGUUCUGCUACCCCCUAGCUCUUACUCAAUCCCCAAACCACUGUUGGUCUUCAUCACAAAUGUCAAGCCCUUCUUCUCUUUCCUAAACAAUAAGAAAACUGAGAAGACAGAGAGGUUAAAUAUCUUUCCUAAGGUCACAGAACUGAUAUGACAUCAAAGCUCUUAUUGGGACAGGCAGUUUCAGCAGGGUUGUCAGGGUAGAGCAGAAGACCACCAAGAAACCUUUUGCAAUAAAAGUGAUGGAAACCAGAGAGAGAGAAGGUAGAGAAGCGUGCGUGUCUGAGCUGAGCGUCCUGCGGCGGGUUAGCCAUCGUUACAUUGUCCAGCUCAUGGAGAUCUUUGAGGCUGAGGAUCGAGUUUACAUGGUAAUGGAGCUGGCUACCGGAGGGGAGCUCUUUGAUCGACUCAUUGCUCAGGGAUCCUUUACAGAGCGGGAUGCCGUCAGGAUCCUCCAGAUGGUUGCUGAUGGGAUUAGGUAUUUGCACACGCUGCGAAUAACUCAUAGGAACCUAAAGCCUGAAAACCUCUUAUACUAUCAUCCAGGUGCAGAGUCGAAAAUUUUAAUUACAGAUUUUGGUUUGGCACACUCCGGGAACAAAAGUGGUGACUGGACAAUGAAGACACUCUGUGGGACCCCAGAGUACAUAGCUCCCGAGGUUUUGCUAAGGAAGCCUUAUACCAGUGCAGUGGACAUGUGG